This 240-nucleotide ribosomal RNA is filed under the name uncultured bacterium. RNAcentral's name for it is "partial 16S ribosomal RNA". It matches the Rfam family "Bacterial small subunit ribosomal RNA", at positions 1262 to 1500 of the family's 1533-position model. The record is from RNAcentral.
GUAGAGCAGAACCCGAAAAAGUAAUUCUCAGUUCAGAUUGCAGGCUGCAACUCGCCUGCAUGAAGUCGGAAUUGCUAGUAAUCGCGGAUCAGCAUGCCGCGGUGAAUACGUUCCCGGGCCUUGUACACACCGCCCGUCAAACCAUGAGAGCUGGAAACACCCGAAGCUGGUAGCCUAACCGUAAGGAGGGCGCCAUUGAAGGUGGGGCUAGUGAUUAGGGUUAAGUCGUAACAAGGUAAC